AGAUUAAGUUAUUAAGGGCGCACGGUGGAUGCCUUGGCACUAGAAGCCGAUGAAGGACGUUACUAACGACGAUAUGCUUUGGGGAGCUGUAAGUAAGCUUUGAUCCAGAGAUUUCCGAAUGGGGAAACCCAGCAUGAGUUAUGUCAUGUUAUCGAUAUGUGAAUACAUAGCAUAUCAGAAGGCACACCCGGAGAACUGAAACAUCUUAGUACCCGGAGGAAGAGAAAGAAAAUUCGAUUCCCUUAGUAGCGGCGAGCGAAACGGGAAGAGCCCAAACCAACAAGCUUGCUUGUUGGGGUUGUAGGACACUCUGUACGGAGUUACAAAGGACGACAUUAGACGAAUCAUCUGGAAAGAUGAAUCAAAGAAGGUAAUAAUCCUG
This 382-nucleotide ribosomal RNA is filed under the name Staphylococcus aureus. RNAcentral's name for it is "partial 23S ribosomal RNA". It matches the Rfam family "Bacterial large subunit ribosomal RNA", at positions 1 to 375 of the family's 2925-position model. The record is from RNAcentral. Lineage: Bacteria; Bacillati; Bacillota; Bacilli; Caryophanales; Staphylococcaceae.